CGCUUGCAGUAAGCUCGGGACUCGUUCACGGGAGAAACCCAUGCCGCACACCCGCCAUCCGCACCUGCAUUCCAGUGCCUCGCGCCCUGGUUUGUCGUUGCGCGCGCGUGCGCCGCAGGCACCCCGUGCCGCGUAUUUCUUCGGGUAUUGGUUUAGCCACUCCGGCGCCUGAUACCCCAACGGCGCCCACGGUAUACGGGACGCCUACCCUGCACACGCAAACCCCCGGUCGGCUCCCCGACCGGGGG
This 248-nucleotide non-coding RNA is filed under the name Pseudomonas aeruginosa. Lineage: Bacteria; Pseudomonadati; Pseudomonadota; Gammaproteobacteria; Pseudomonadales; Pseudomonadaceae. RNAcentral also lists the same sequence under 1 other name. The record is from RNAcentral.